Nyctereutes procyonoides (raccoon dog) is the source of this 2740-nucleotide long non-coding RNA. RefSeq lists it as uncharacterized. The record is from RefSeq and is a predicted model, not a curated record. Lineage: Eukaryota; Metazoa; Chordata; Mammalia; Carnivora; Canidae. The transcript has 3 exons.
GAGGUGAGUCCAGAAUAGAAGUAGGGAAGCUGGGGAAGCAAAAAUGAUCCUUGAAAGAGGAAGUCUCCUUGGGGGCGCCCCUAUUAAGCGGCCUCAGGAUUCCAUCCCCUUACUGACUUUCCACCACUCAUUUCUUGAGAUCACUCGAUCACUCGGGGACCUUGCCCUGACUCUGGAAUUCGCAUAUGAGUCAGAAGUUCAAAGGAAUGGAGUCCACCUCCGCCAGGAUCAUAAAGUAUCCUCCAGGCUCUUUCUCACCCCGCCCCGACCUCAGGCUCUGUCCCAAUUCCAGGUGCAGGUGGGAUCUCUGAGUCAGAGAUAAGCCAGAAGUGAUGGGCGCUGAGCUCAGUGCUCCUUUCCACACCUGGUUUCCUCCCCACUCCAGCUGCCUCCUUCCCACACAGGCUGACCGAGGACACCCCUGGCUUUCGGGGCCCCAUCGGCACGUAUGGGGCUGGUCGGUCAGAGCUGGGGCUGGGAGUCCUCCAGUAAACCUGAAGUUCGGCACCGACAGACACACAGACAUCCAGAUGUACUUACCCCCUUCUGCAGCCAGGAUCCAAAUCACCUCCAGCAGGAGACUGAAGAACAGCAUAGUAUCCCCGGAAGAAGCAGGUACUGGGAGUUUGGGGACUAGAGGGACUAGGUUUGGCAGAGAAAGGGGGGGGGGGAUGAGGGAGAGAGGGGAGAGAGGAGGGAGGGAGGGAAGAGAGAGAGGAGUUUCUUGGAGCUGAGCUGAUUGUAUUUAUCUCUUUUUCUCUUGAUGUCUUGUGGGCUUCCAGGGGAUUUGGUUUUCAGUAGGGUACUGUAGGGUUUUGGAUCCCUAGGACAAAUCUUUCGCUGCCUCUUUUUAAAAAUCUACCUCUACAGUCUUCAGUCCACUUGCUGGCCAGCGACUUCACAAUUGCCUCCUGCUUUUAAGGUGGCUCUGGACGGGUGUACAGGGUGGGGGUGGGGGGGCUGCCUGGGUUGCUGGAGAACAGCUCCUUAAAUAGCCGAUUGGGCAUGCGGACCUGGAGUGUGCAGCUUCAUGGGAGCCCUGGCCCUGGCUCAGGAGCCCAACUGGGGUGAGCUCUUCCUUCCUCUGUUCUUCUCAUGGGCACUGUCCAGGUAAGUGUCCUCUGGGGCAGCCGGGGCACGGGAGGAGGGCUUCGGGGUCCAGUCCUUGCCCCCUCAGGGGGGACACUGUGUUCUCAUUCCCCUUGUGGCUUCUCUAAGGGGCAGCUCUCCUGGGUGGUAUGGGGCAGAGUGGGGGGAAGAUCUAUUUCCUGUCCCCUGCAGAAUUUGAGCUGCUCUGGAAUAGGAAGAGUCCAAAGUUUGGAGAUAGACAACCUGGAGGAGUUGGGGACUCGGGGUGCAGGUGGAGGGUAGGAAGUCAAGGGCUAAAAGCUAGCUCAUGAGGACUCCUGGGUGGUUCAGCGGGGGGCAUCUGCCUUUGGUUCAGGGCAUGAUCCCAGGGUCCAGGGAUCGAGUCCCACAUUGGGCUUCCUGCAUGGAGCUUGCUUCUCCCUCUGCCUCUCUCUCUCUCUCUGUGUCUCUCAUGAGUGGAUAGAGUCUUAAAAAGAAAAUAAAAUAAAAGCUAGCUCAUGGAAAAUAAAGAAGAGAACUGAGGCAAGAGACCUUGCUUGGAGCGAUCUCUUCCUGCGCCUGUCACCACCCGCUUCCCACGAGUCAACAGCCUUGAGGAUGCACCCAUUUGAACUCACUCUGCGCUUGUCCCUCCUGCCAAGGAGCAAGAAGAAACCAAAACAAAGGGAACAGAGACUAAAUGAGGGAGCAAGAUAAAUGCCAAUUGAACAGAAUAAUGCAUGUGCUGGAUCAUCGGGGCCUCCUGAGGCAGGAACUGCCUGGUCUUUCUGUGCCCUGUGAUUGAUCUGCAAAGCAAAACCAUUUGCCAGAUAUAAUUUCCUUCUUCAUUUCCUCAUCACCUGUCAGAAUUAUUUUUCCCUUACAGAUACAUUUUAUGUUUUGAGGUUCCCCCAAAGCCCCAUCUCAUCCAAGAAGAAUAAAAGGUAUAAAGUGUAAACUAGACAUCCUGGGAAUCAGGAUAGUUAACACAGAGAAACAGAGAAAAGAAGAAAAGCAGAGACAUUUACUGCACAGGGUGGUGGUAGAGGGGGAGAAUAGGCCUGGACAGAAUGACCUCUGCUGGGUCAGAGUUCCCUUUCAGUGGCGCCUGGAAUUCAGCUUCCCCAGGCAGGUAGUGUCUUGCCAGGCGCCACCUCCUGGUUGUCUCGUGAAUUUUUAAAAAAUUUUAAAAUCUCAUUUUAAAACGUGUGACUGCUUAGGGGAAGUGUUUCACUGCUGAUGGGAUUUGGGAUUUUGCCUACAGAAAUAAACAUUGUUUCACAAAAAUGUCUUAGCCCCAAAUCAGCACCUUCCCACUUCUGAGUGAGCAGCCUCUCCAGGCCCUCAUGCUUCCCAAGUGGACAAGGCCUUGGUUUCUGGGAAGGCGGGAGAAAGGAGGCAAGCACCAUCCUCCAGGCACUUGCCUUUAUUUUGAUCUUUUGUUCUACCAUGGAUAUUUCUGUUGUCCCCGAGGUAAUUUGGAGUAGGUGUCAGGAGGGUCCUUACAUAUUAAAACAAAAUAAAAUGCCACCCCACUACCACUCCCUUCAACUUAGUAGCCUUCAAACUCUGGCACCUUUGUUUUAAUUCCUACUUCUGUCUCCGGGACAUUCCUUAACCUGGGCUUGGCUAAACCCAAGGCAUUGCACUGCCCUCUGGCGCCAUCUCCUGU